Molecule: non-coding RNA, 101 nt
Organism: Tephrocybe rancida
Lineage: Eukaryota; Fungi; Basidiomycota; Agaricomycetes; Agaricales; Lyophyllaceae
Source: the annotation of a GenBank genome assembly
GCCUUCUUGGCUCAGUUGGCUAGAGCGCAGGUCUCAUAGCAAUAUGACAUAAUUCCGAUUAUGCAAUCCUGAGGUCGCAAGUUCGAGCCUUGCAGAGGGCA